Molecule: long non-coding RNA, 202 nt
Filed under: Gossypium raimondii (Peruvian cotton)
Lineage: Eukaryota; Viridiplantae; Streptophyta; Magnoliopsida; Malvales; Malvaceae
Description: long non-coding RNA (GRAI_LNC010722)
Source: RNAcentral
AUUAUUGCCCAUUUGGUCCCUCCUUGUUAUUCGUGCAUUCAACUUGGUCAUUUUCCUUUUAUUUUUUUUAUUUUCCCCAAAUUUAUGUUUUAAGUUCGAUUUGGUCCCUUUUUUGUUAUUUUUGCUAUUUUAUUAUUAAACAAAUUAAUUUAAUAUUAUUAUUCCUAUUAUUAUUUUCCCUUUUUUAUUUAUUUACUCAUUA